GUUCACAGGCAAAGCAAGAUGCCACUAUACAAGAGAACUGAAGCUAAGAGUCCACACAAAACCUCAUGUGUUCUGAAGGUGAUUUAAAUUCAACAAAAUGCCAAGCCAAUCAAAACAGAAUCUGCAACGAAUUUAAGAAAUUUAGAACCCCUUCAUGUUUUCAACAGAGGGUUCCCAGAGUUCUCUGAUACUGAGUUCUCCACUUCACGGUAUGCAGGUUCUGAUGCAAAGGAAAUGACAUUAACAGAAGAAAUGGCCAGUGAUGCUGAGUUCAAAUGUGGUGCGUCUUGGGGAGAGGUUGUAAGACUUGGAGCAAACUGUCCUUGCUCCCAAAGACAACAAAACAUUAAACACAACUCUACUCCAUUCUUUGAGGUCCAUCCUGGCCCACCAAGAGAAAGAGGGCUCUUCUAAGGCAAAAUGGAACCAUGUCCUUGGGUUGACAUCAUAAAGUGCCACCAACUAGAUGGCUUCGGGUGGACAACUUAUAAACACACCGUGUACACAGGGUUAAAGAAACAACCUAAUCCAGUUCCUUGGACAUAGGAAUCUGCAUGCUGCUGUGAAGAUGUCUUAUAUGGAAACAAUGAGAAGAGCUAAAGAAGAACCGACGAGCAAAGCGCUGAGCCCUGAAGACGUGGAUUAGGAGCUGAGACUAAAGGCCAGUACAGGACCUCAUGCAGGAAUAGUCUCUGAUCUAGGGAAGUUGGUCCUGAUACCCCAGCUAUGGUUCAGUACCACUUCAGACAUUUGGGGGUGUGAUGUCUGCACUGUUCCCUCCAUGUGUACUGUGGUUGUCACAUUCCUGCCAGGUUUGCUCUGGCAGACAGCAGCAUGGUGGAUGGCUUGAUUUCUGUGUGAAAAGCAGCCAUAGCCAUAGACAUCCCUAGCUUAUGCUAUGCUGCGCUGACUCAGGACUGAUGCUGGAGGAGAAUCUCUUUGAGGUCCCAAGGAGAGGAUGGACAGCCAUUGUCUUGGGGUGAGUGACAAAAAUCCCUAACCCAAAGAAGGAAACCAGGGCAAAUGUACCUUACUCACUGAUCACAUUCCUUGUGUGCGCUCUAGAUGGGGUGGGGUCUCCAUCCCCCCAACAGUCCUGAGAUAGCUUUUAAUUUGGCUUCUCCAACAGCAAAACCUAGAGGUGGCAUGGGUGUGUCAAGUGCUGGUAAAUCCUGAAUGUUCCACUCUGCACUGUGGAGUUUGUAUACCCCGAAUGUUCACAAGUGGUCCCUAAUCCUCAACAUGAUGACUUUUGAGGUAGAGUCUAUGGUACAGGGGUAACACUAUGAAGGGAGCCCUAAUGAGUGCUAUCAGCACCUUUAUAGGCAGGCUGAAUUGCCAGGCUCUCUCACGGCCAGAAUGGGCAUAGUCAGGAAUGUAUGACCAUGGGAUAGAAAAGUCCUCAACAGGCCCGCAUCUGCAUCCUUAACCCUCAGCCUCCAAAACUACAAAAAAAGAAAGUGUGCUGUUUGAAACACCCAGUCAUGUUGUUGAGACGAAUGACUGAGGCUCUCAAGAUCAUGUUGACAUCUUAAGUGUGACUGAUUCAAAGAUUAUGAAGUUUUCCUGGUAGGCUACAAAUACAGUCACAAGUGUCCUCAUGUGAGAGAAGUAUAACAAAACUCAACUCAGACGGAGGAAGGAGAAAUGUGACCACAGACUCAGGUGGAGAGACGUGACAAGCCAAAGAUUGUCAAUGCACACCACAGUGUCUUAAGGUAGAGAACGGUUCCUCCCUACAGUUUCUGGAGUGUAAAGAAGCUUUUUCCUUGAGAGGAGCCUU
Mesocricetus auratus (golden hamster) is the source of this 1783-nucleotide long non-coding RNA. RefSeq lists it as uncharacterized. The transcript is spliced from 6 exons. NCBI's taxonomy places the organism in Eukaryota, Metazoa, Chordata, Mammalia, Rodentia, Cricetidae. The record is from RefSeq and is a predicted model, not a curated record.